RNAcentral lists this ribosomal RNA (800 nucleotides) under Pseudomonas sp. Z816X1. Its description in RNAcentral is "bacterial SSU rRNA". It matches the Rfam family "Bacterial small subunit ribosomal RNA", at positions 46 to 841 of the family's 1533-position model. The record is from RNAcentral. Lineage: Bacteria; Pseudomonadati; Pseudomonadota; Gammaproteobacteria; Pseudomonadales; Pseudomonadaceae.
GCCUAACACAUGCAAGUCGAGCGGAUGACGGGAGCUUGCUCCCUGAUUUAGCGGCGGACGGGUGAGUAAUGCCUAGGAAUCUGCCUGGUAGUGGGGGAUAACGUUCCGAAAGGAACGCUAAUACCGCGUACGUCCUACGGGAGAAAGCAGGGGACCUUCGGGCCUUGCGCUAUCAGAUGAGCCUAGGUCGGAUUAGCUAGUUGGUGAGGUAAUGGCUCACCAAGGCGACGAUCCGUAACUGGUCUGAGAGGAUGAUCAGUCACACUGGAACUGAGACACGGUCCAGACUCCUACGGGAGGCAGCAGUGGGGAAUAUUGGACAAUGGGCGAAAGCCUGAUCCAGCCAUGCCGCGUGUGUGAAGAAGGUCUUCGGAUUGUAAAGCACUUUAAGUUGGGAGGAAGAGCAUUAACCUAAUACGUUAGUGUUUUGACGUUACCGACAGAAUAAGCACCGGCUAACUUCGUGCCAGCAGCCGCGGUAAUACGAAGGGUGCAAGCGUUAAUCGGAAUUACUGGGCGUAAAGCGCGCGUAGGUGGUUCGUUAAGUUGGAUGUGAAAGCCCCGGGCUCAACCUGGGAACUGCAUCCAAAACUGGCGAGCUAGAGUACGGUAGAGGGUGGUGGAAUUUCCUGUGUAGCGGUGAAAUGCGUAGAUAUAGGAAGGAACACCAGUGGCGAAGGCGACCACCUGGACUGAUACUGACACUGAGGUGCGAAAGCGUGGGGAGCAAACAGGAUUAGAUACCCUGGUAGUCCACGCCGUAAACGAUGUCAACUAGCCGUUGGAAUCCUUGAGAUUUU